RNAcentral lists this ribosomal RNA (465 nucleotides) under Vreelandella stevensii. RNAcentral's name for it is "partial 16S ribosomal RNA". It matches the Rfam family "Bacterial small subunit ribosomal RNA", at positions 338 to 795 of the family's 1533-position model. The record is from RNAcentral. Lineage: Bacteria; Pseudomonadati; Pseudomonadota; Gammaproteobacteria; Oceanospirillales; Halomonadaceae.
CCUACGGGGGGCUGCAGUGGGGAAUAUUGGACAAUGGGGGGAACCCUGAUCCAGCCAUGCCGCGUGUGUGAAGAAGGCCCUCGGGUUGUAAAGCACUUUCAGUGAGGAAGAACGCCUGGUGGUUAAUACCCAUCAGGAAAGACAUCACUCACAGAAGAAGCACCGGCUAACUCCGUGCCAGCAGCCGCGGUAAUACGGAGGGUGCGAGCGUUAAUCGGAAUUACUGGGCGUAAAGCGCGCGUAGGUGGCUUGAUAAGCCGGUUGUGAAAGCCCCGGGCUCAACCUGGGAACGGCAUCCGGAACUGUCAAGCUAGAGUGCAGGAGAGGAAGGUAGAAUUCCCGGUGUAGCGGUGAAAUACGUAGAGAUCGGGAGGAAUACCAGUGGCGAAGGCGGCCUUCUGGACUGACACUGACACUGAGGUGCGAAAGCGUGGGUAGCAAACAGGAUUAGAUACCCGUGUAGUC